RNAcentral lists this ribosomal RNA (625 nucleotides) under uncultured fungus. RNAcentral describes it as "eukaryotic LSU rRNA". It matches the Rfam family "Eukaryotic large subunit ribosomal RNA", at positions 40 to 647 of the family's 3401-position model. Lineage: Eukaryota; Fungi. The record is from RNAcentral.
AUAUCAAUAAGCGGAGGAAAAGAAACUAACAAGGAUUCCCCUAGUAACUGCGAGUGAAGCGGGAAAAGCUCAAAUUUAAAAUCUGACAGUCUUUGGCUGUUCGAGUUGUAAUCUGGAGAAGCGUCUUCCGCGCUGGACCGUGUACAAGUCUUCUGGAACGGAGCGUCAUAGAGGGUGAGAAUCCCGUCUUUGACACGGACUACCAGUGCUUUGUGAUGCGCUCUCAAAGAGUCGAGUUGUUUGGGAAUGCAGCUCCAAAUGGGUGGUAAACUCCAUCUAAAGCUAAAUAUUGGCGAGAGACCGAUAGCGAACAAGUACCGUGAGGGAAAGAUGAAAAGCACUUUGGAAAGAGAGUUAAACAGUACGUGAAAUUGCUGAAAGGGAAACGCUUGAAGUCAGUCGCGUUUGCUAGGACUCAGCCUUGCCUCGGCUUGGUGCAUUUCCUGGUUGAACGGGCCAGCAUCACUUUUGGCUGCGGGAAAAAGGUCAGGGGAAUGUGGCACCUCCGGGUGUGUUAUAGCCUCUGGCUGCAUACCGUGGCUGGGAGUGAGGAACUCAGCACGCCUUCAUGGCGGGGCUUCGGCCACCUUCGUGCUUAGGAUGCUGGCGUAAUGGCUUUAAACGA